RNAcentral lists this ribosomal RNA (459 nucleotides) under uncultured bacterium. RNAcentral's name for it is "partial 16S ribosomal RNA". It matches the Rfam family "Bacterial small subunit ribosomal RNA", at positions 338 to 795 of the family's 1533-position model. The record is from RNAcentral.
CCUACGGGAGGCUGCAGUGAUGAAUAUUGGUCAAUGGGCGCGAGCCUGAACCAGCCCAGUCGCGUGAGGGAAGACGGUCCUAUGGAUUGUAAACCUCUUUUGUCGGGGAGCAAAAGACGCCACGCGUGGCGUUCCGAGAGUACCCGAAGAAAAAGCAUCGGCUAACUCCGUGCCAGCCGCCGCGGUAAUACGGAGGAUGCGAGCGUUAUCCGGAGUUAUUGGGUGUAAAGGGAGCGCAGGCGGAAGAUCAAGUCAGCGGUAAAAUUGAGAGGCUCAACCUCUUCGAGCCGUUGAAACUGGUUUUCUUGAGUGAGCGAGAAGUAUGCGGAAUGCGUGGUGUAGCGGUGAAAUGCAUAGAUAUCACGCAGAACUCCGAUUGCGAAGGCAGCAUACCGGCGCUCAACUGACGCUCAUGCACGAAAGUGUGGGUAUCGAACAGGAUUAGAUACCCGAGUAGUC